UUCCUACGGGAGGCAGCAGUAGGGAAUCUUCCGCAAUGGACGAAAGUCUGACGGAGCAACGCCGCGUGAGUGAUGAAGGUUUUCGGAUCGUAAAGCUCUGUUGUUAGGGAAGAACAAGUGCCGUUCAAAUAGGGCGGCACCUUGACGGUACCUAACCAGAAAGCCACGGCUAACUACGUGCCAGCAGCCGCGGUAAUACGUAGGUGGCAAGCGUUGUCCGGAAUUAUUGGGCGUAAAGGGCUCGCAGGCGGUUUCUUAAGUCUGAUGUGAAAGCCCCCGGCUCAACCGGGGAGGGUCAUUGGAAACUGGGGAACUUGAGUGCAGAAGAGGAGAGUGGAAUUCCACGUGUAGCGGUGAAAUGCGUAGAGAUGUGGAGGAACACCAGUGGCGAAGGCGACUCUCUGGUCUGUAACUGACGCUGAGGAGCGAAAGCGUGGGGAGCGAACAGGAUUAGAUACCCUGGGUAGUCCA
RNAcentral lists this ribosomal RNA (471 nucleotides) under Bacillus sp. (in: firmicutes). RNAcentral's name for it is "bacterial SSU rRNA". It matches the Rfam family "Bacterial small subunit ribosomal RNA", at positions 336 to 797 of the family's 1533-position model. The record is from RNAcentral. Lineage: Bacteria; Bacillati; Bacillota; Bacilli; Caryophanales; Bacillaceae.